This 70-nucleotide transfer RNA is filed under the name Potamotrygon motoro (ocellate stingray). Its description in RNAcentral is "tRNA-Pro". It matches the Rfam family "tRNA". Rfam says of the family: Transfer RNA (tRNA) molecules are approximately 80 nucleotides in length. The record is from RNAcentral. RNAcentral also lists the same sequence under 1 other name. Lineage: Eukaryota; Metazoa; Chordata; Chondrichthyes; Myliobatiformes; Potamotrygonidae.
CAGGAGGUAGUUUAAUUGAAAAUUUUGGCUUUGGGAGCCAAAGAUGGGGGUUUGAUGCCCCUCUUUCUGA